CUUUGAAGUCCCAAACCUGGGCAGGCCCUGAAUUUUCAUAACGCCCUCAGCAUGGAAAUCUCCUAAAUGAGGACACUAAGACUGCUAGCUAGGGUCGUCCCCCUGGGCCUCCUGCAAGAUCCCUCUCCUCUCCCUGAGCCAGGAGCAAAGGACGUGCCACCAUCCCCGGACUGGGAAGUCUCCGCAGCCUUGCCCUCCUGGGCCUCCGCACAACUGGAAAGGGGCAGUGUCUCCCUGAAGAACCGCAGUGGAAGCCCUCAGAGUCGGCCUCCUGCGCUCUAGGACUCGGGCCAGCCUGGGCACUCCUUGCGCAGCAUCUGCUCCAGCUGUGCUCACGGGGCUUCUUCCUCCCAGUCCUCGCCUCGCCUUGGCUGGCAUAAGUCAGGGUGGCAAUGGCCACCAGAAGGCCGCAGCCGCUGCCCAAAACACCGAUCAACACGCCAGGGUAGCCAAGCUGUGCCGCCCCAGCUCCCUGCACUGGGUGGGUGGGCGCCCCCCCCUCCCACCUCCGCUCCCUGGUUCGCCGGCGACCUCGGCGGCGGCACCAGCAUCACUUUUCCGCCAGGUGGCGCUGAGGCCGUCGGCACCAGGAGCAAAGUGGCAGCGCGGGACGGAGCCGGCUGGUCUCCAUCCCGCACCACGAUGACCGCCGUCGGCUGCCCAGUGGGCUGUGGGGACAGGCGGCGCUGGAGAGACAGCUCACCCCCUAGCACCCCGGGGCGCAGUUAGCUCGGCGUCGGGGCCUUGGUCUGCAGGCGGGUCACCCAGUAGCCCAGCAGAGCGCCCUGGGUCAGAGGCAGCUGCGCUGAGCCACUGAAGACAGUGGCAGUGUGCGUGGUCAUCCUGGUCCUGCACAGGUAGCCACAGCACAGCCGGCCCCGGCGCGGCGGAGAGCCACCCGUCGAGCGCGUUCAGCUCCGGCUGCAACUUGGCCCGUUCCUCGCGGUCAGAGCAUCGCGGUGCGCGCCGCUCCCCCGUGGUGGGGUCCACCAAGACAGCGGGAUACGGCGCCCCGGGCGCGCGACCCACUUCUGCCUCCAGCAGCCGGUAGGUAACCUGGCCGUUGCGGCCCAGGUCCGGGUCCCGCGCGGCCACCGUGGCCAGGUAGGCGCCGGGCGGGUUGUUCUCACGCACCGACACCUCGUAGACCCGCCGAGUGAAGAGCGGCGCGUUGUCGUUCUCGUAGCGGGGGCGCGCCGCGGUCCUCGGCCACCAGCGUCAGGUUGUACUCGGCGAUGCGCUCGCGGUCCAGCGACGCCGCGGUCACCACCAGGUGGAGGCCCGGGGCCCGGGGCCGCGGUCCUGGGCGCGCACGUCCAGCUCGUAGGUGUCCUGGCGCUCGUAGUCCACGGGUCCUGCCAGGGUGAGGCGGCCGGAGCGCGGGUCCAGGCGGAAGAGGCGGCGCGCCUCGGGCCGGGUGCGGGCACCGAAGGCGAACGCCGCAUCGCCGUUGAGGCUCUCGUCGGGGUCCGCCGCGUCCAGGUCGAGCAGCAGCGAGCCCACGGGCCCGUCCUCCUCCAGCUCCACUUCGGCCACCGCGCCCUGCGGGAAGGCCGGGCUGUGGUCGUUGGCGUCCAGCACUCGCACGCUGAGGGCGGCCGUGGCGGAGCGCGGCGGGCGGCCGCCGUCCUGGGCCACCAGCUCCAGGCUGUAGGCGGCCUGGCUCUCGCGGUCCAGCUCCUGCAGCAGCACCAGGUCCGCGCACUGGGCGCCGUCCGCGCGCGUCUGCAGUUCCACGCGGAAGGGGCUGUGAGGCUCGGCCAGGCGCACGCUCUGCAGCCCGUUGGCCCCCACGUCCUCGUCCACCGGCACCUCCAGGGGGAUGCGCGUGCCCACGGCCGCGCCCUCGGACACCUCCACGGGGAUCUGGGCCCGGGGGAAGCGCGGCGCGUGGUCGUUGAUGUCCCUCACCUCCACCUCCACGUGCACCAGCCGGAACUGCUCCUGGGAGAAGCUGACCACGUCGAAGGCCAGCACGCACUGUGGCGCUCGGCCGCACAGCCGCUCGCGGUCCAGGCCCGCGUCCCCGACGGUCAGCUGCCCGUCGCCCUCGCGCACCCGGAGCAGCGAGCUGUUGAACUGCUUCAUCAGGCGGAAGCUGGUGUCUCCGGACACUUUCAUAUGCAGGUGCGGAAAUUGACAGUUUUGAUGCAAGAUUCGGACACCAGCUGCAGCCGCAGAACUAGCAAGAAUUCCAGUCUGGUCCAGCACAAAGUGUCAGCGGAAAAUCUGAGCCUCCAGCAAGCCAUCUUUGUUCCUCAAGGAGAAAAAAGCCAACAGGAGGUUCUGCACUGAUACUUGCAGCCCCUCAUGCCCUCCUGAGUAGGCAGGCAGGAGAUACUUGCCCUCCUAAAUAUAUCUAAUCACUAAACCCUCUCUGCUGUGUAAUCGCUUUUCUGUGCUUCAGGCCUAAGCUUGCUUCUUCUGAACCCGAUCACAGAGGUUACAUAGAGAGGAAUGUGCAAAUAAGCAUCCAUCCGAGCCAAUCUGCAGAGUCUCUGGGUUUUGGGUCAUGUUGUUCCCCUAAAAGAGCUCACAGAAGAUCCUGGGGAGCUGAACAGUGGCCAGAGCAGUGCAGGGGGUCAUGAAUAUCCCCAUAGAAGUUUGCACUAGCAGGAUGCAUCCCACUUGCUUUUUUCCACUCUGCUUGAAUUCCACUUUGAUG
Long non-coding RNA from Vulpes vulpes (red fox), 2665 nucleotides. Lineage: Eukaryota; Metazoa; Chordata; Mammalia; Carnivora; Canidae. The record is from Ensembl.